UACAGAGUACUGAAGAGUUCCGAAGCAAGAAAUGGCAAGACAUAGAGAUAAUUCCGCGUGGUGUGGAGCCAUCAACUGCUCCAAUUCCAAGCUUCGAAACCCAGAACUGUCAUUUCAUCGUAUCCCAAGUGAUGGUGUCAGAUGCUGGAAAUGGGUGCAAAGCAGUAGAAGGACUGAUCUCUUGGACAAGUCAGUUGAGUUUCUAUACAUGAACAUCAAGUUCUGCUCUCUACACUUUGAGCCAUCACAGUACCACCGAAACAGCAAGCGUCUCCGAAGAGAUGCAGUUCCAACUCUUUUUGACUUUCCAAAUGCGCCCAAGCAAGUUACUCCAAAAAGACCUCUGAGUGCCAAACCAGAGACAAACACAAAUCUGAGAACAGACAAAAACACAACAAAACCAGAGGAAGCUCCUGGCCGUAGCUGGAGUGACUUUGAGGACAUGGUUGUAAAUGAAGAUCCCGAUAGCCCAGAGAGUGGUGACGAAAAUCGGCCGCCGAUCCCAGCUGUACGGGCAACCAGCGGCUCCAACCACUACAGGUGUGCAGUGAGACGCUUGAAGAAGCAAAAUCGACAGCUGAGAAGGGCCCUCAGAGCUGCCCGAAAGGUAACAUCAGCGCAGUCCGUGUUGGAAAAGGCAAGUUUGUAUCUCAACCCAAGGCAGCUGGCAUUUUUCAAAAUGCAGUUGGACCUGUCCUCAUGUGCAGUGCGUGACAGACGAUUCACGGAUGAGCAGAUCAUAGAGUGUCGGGCACUGUACGACCAGGGGCCCCGGGCCUAUCGUUAUCUAAGAAAGCAGUUUGUGUUGCCAAGCCCUAGGAGUCUGACGAAGCAUUGAAUCCAUUUGCUGCCCGGCCCGAUGUCAUUCAGAUUAGGCCAUUUUUCGGAAGCAGACGACUGCUGUAUGGGGGUGCAGAUGACCAUGUGAGGCUAGGCUCAGUAUCUUUCGAUAAAAUGCAGCUCCGUCGCAAACUGGCGUACGAACACGGAGACGACGCCAUCAAAGGCAUAAAGGCCGCUGGGGGCAGUGCCAGGAAACCAGAGAGAAACGUGUAGAGUGCGAUCGGGAAAUGCUUUACCUACGCACCUGAAGACUGCGUGUAGACUUGGACAUUGGCAGCCUCAUGGAGCCUUGGAGCCACGACCCGGCGACCGUCCCGCACCUAACCCUCGCCGAUGGCCGGCCGCGUGCGUGGCUCGCUAAGUUUCUGGUGCUAACCCGGCCAGCGGCUAGGAGGCGACCGUGUGUGAUUCACACAACGAUACGAUGCACGGCUGGACAACAGCUUGAUGUGUGGGAAAAUGGAAAGGUGUUUUGCAAUAAAAUGAGUCAAGUGUUUUGUCAGGUGUUUUAACCAAAUGUGUUAUGAAAUGAAUUUGUGAGUGGAGUGGUGUCGAUGCUUUGUGUGCUUGUUCACACAUUCGCCCCAGCUGUUACCGGAUAUCAAUAUUACAGAGCUGUGAAUAU
This is a long non-coding RNA of Amphibalanus amphitrite, 1468 nucleotides long. RefSeq lists it as uncharacterized. NCBI's taxonomy places the organism in Eukaryota, Metazoa, Arthropoda, Thecostraca, Balanomorpha, Balanidae. The transcript has 3 exons. The record is from RefSeq and is a predicted model, not a curated record.